AGGAUAGCCUUAUGCCUAUCCCACGCAUGCUUAAACUCCUUUACUGUGUUAAUUUUUUUUCCCAGUAUUUAACAAAUAUGUAUUUUUGAGGUGCAGGUGAAAAUAAAAUUAACUGUAUAAAUCUACAUCUCUUUAUCCUCUAACUGGGCGCCUCCAUCUUGGCUAUCUGUCAAACGUUGUUAUAAGCUCCAUCCUUUACUUUACAGCUUGCAGUCAACGUACAGAGAGCAGACC
Non-coding RNA from Pelobates cultripes (western spadefoot toad), 234 nucleotides. NCBI's taxonomy places the organism in Eukaryota, Metazoa, Chordata, Amphibia, Anura, Pelobatidae. The record is from the annotation of a GenBank genome assembly.